GACGAACGCUGGCGGCGUGCUUAACACAUGCAAGUCGAACGGAAAGGCCCGGCGUUUGUGGGGUGCUCGAGUGGCGAAGGGGUGAGUAACACGCGAGUAACCUGCCCUUGACUGUGGGAUAACUUCAGGAAACUCGGGCUAAUACCGGAUAGGAGCUCCUGCUGCAUGUGGGGGGUUGGAAAGUGUCGGCGGUUGUGGAUGGACUCGCGGCUUAUCAGCUUGUUGGGGUGGUAGUGGCUUACCAAGGUUUUGACGGGUAGCCCGCCUGAGAGGGUGACCGGCCACCUUGGGACUGCGAUACGCACCAGAAUCCUACGGGAGGCAGCAGUGGGGAACCUUGCACAGUGGGCCGAAGCCUGAUGCAGCAAUGUCGCGUGCGGGAUGCCGGCCUUCGGGUUGUAAACCGCUUUCGCCUGUGCCGAAGCGUGCGUGACGGUAAUGGGUCAAGAAGCCACGGCUAACUACGUG
RNAcentral lists this ribosomal RNA (468 nucleotides) under uncultured bacterium. Its description in RNAcentral is "partial 16S ribosomal RNA". It matches the Rfam family "Bacterial small subunit ribosomal RNA", at positions 28 to 507 of the family's 1533-position model. The record is from RNAcentral.